AGCGGCGGACGGGUGAGUAACGCGUGGGCAACCUGCCUUACACAGGGGGAUAACAGUUAGAAAUGACUGCUAAUACCGCAUAAGACCGCGGAACCGCAUGGUUCUGAGGUAAAAACUCCGGUGGUGUAAGAUGGGCCCGCGUCUGAUUAGGUAGUUGGUGAGGUAACGGCUCACCAAGCCGACGAUCAGUAGCCGACCUGAGAGGGUGACCGGCCACAUUGGGACUGAGACACGGCCCAGACUCCUACGGGAGGCAGCAG
Molecule: ribosomal RNA, 260 nt
Filed under: uncultured bacterium
Lineage: Bacteria
Description: partial 16S ribosomal RNA
Rfam family: Bacterial small subunit ribosomal RNA
Source: RNAcentral